This 75-nucleotide antisense RNA is filed under the name Streptomyces sp. MP131-18. Its description in RNAcentral is "ASpks TB sRNA". It matches the Rfam family "ASpks TB sRNA". Lineage: Bacteria; Bacillati; Actinomycetota; Actinomycetes; Kitasatosporales; Streptomycetaceae. The record is from Rfam by way of RNAcentral.
CUUGAUGGACGCCAGCCACAGCGGCUCGCCGUUCGUCCGCUGCUGGCCGUAGGUGGCGAGCAGGGCGUGUGCCUC